GGAUGCGAUCAUACCAGCACUAAUGCACCGGAUCCCAUCAGAACUCCGCAGUUAAGCGUGCUUGGGCGAGAGUAGUACUAGGAUGGGUGACCCCCUGGGAAGUCCUCGUGUUGCAACCCC
RNAcentral lists this ribosomal RNA (120 nucleotides) under Helianthus annuus (common sunflower). The record is from RNAcentral. Lineage: Eukaryota; Viridiplantae; Streptophyta; Magnoliopsida; Asterales; Asteraceae.